CCUACGGGUGGCAGCAGUGAGGAAUAUUGGUCAAUGGGCGGAAGCCUGAACCAGCCACGCCGCGUGAGGGAAGAAGGUACAGCGUAUCGUAAACCUCUUUUGUCAGGGAACAAAGGCGGGGACUAGUCCCCGGAUGAGGGUACCUGAAGAAAAAGCAUCGGCUAACUCCGUGCCAGCAGCCGCGGUAAAACGGAGGUUGCGAGCGUUAUCCGGAUUUAUUGGGUUUAACGGGUGCGCAGGCGGCCUGUUACGUCAGCGGUAAAAGCCCGGGGCUCAACCCCGGCGAGCCGUUGAAACUGGCGGGCUGGAGUGGGAGAGAAGGACGUGGAAUGCGGGGUGUAGCGGUGAAAUGCUUAGAUA
This 360-nucleotide ribosomal RNA is filed under the name uncultured bacterium. Its description in RNAcentral is "partial 16S ribosomal RNA". It matches the Rfam family "Bacterial small subunit ribosomal RNA", at positions 338 to 696 of the family's 1533-position model. The record is from RNAcentral.